AGCUGCCGGGGGCGGAGGCCGCGCCGCACAAGGGAGAACCUUACCAAAGGGCAGGCGCGGCAGGCAGGCGCGGCAGCCCCUCCGAGAUCCAAGAUCCCGAACCCUACGUGCCUUUAGAGCUGAAGCGCUGGUUGAAACAUAGAUGUCAACUUUCAGAUUUGAAAAUAAGGGAUCAGCAGCCUCACCUGACCCGGGGACAGGCUACGGGAUAUCUAACAAUCCGGGAUAGCAGCGGGAAACGGCUCUAGAAUAAGGGAAUUUCCCGCAAAAAAGGGAAGGUUGACAGCUAUGGGUUGAAAAUCGGGCCGGUUUUGUGUGUGAAAACGUGCCCCGGAAACUGAAUUAAUAUCCAUCCUACGGGAUAGUCGGUAGAGCAUGAGACGCUUAAUCUCAGGGUCGUGGGUUCGAGCCCCGUGUUAGCCAUUGCAGGGGGUCGGACUAGAUGACCCCUAUGGUACCUUCCAACUCUAAAGUUAUAUGAUUCAACAACAGACCAGCGUGUUUUUCGCAAAUGAGGCAACCCACAAAAGUGCCUCGCUGAUUCAUUUCUCCCUUCAGUUCCUUUCUGCUCUGAGGUGUACUUAAAGCGGGCGCGCCUAACGCUGUCUGCAUGUGUACAGUCUAAAACUGGGGAAAGGCACACAAGCAAAGCAGUCUAACUGCUGUUUGUCUCCGGCAUCUGGUCUUCAAAGGCACACUGUUGACACAUGGAGGUUAUGUUCCCAGCUAUUAGCAUUGGCUCGUUGCCUGCAGCAGGUCUGUCCGUGCAUUUAUGCAAUCUUUAAACGCUGGUUAUAAGGUCACCACAACAUCCUGUAGCACUCCUGUGAUCAGUGCAGUACCUUAUGUGGACAGGGAAGGGUGCAGAGCUGGGGGGGGGGGGAGAGAACAGUAUCUAGGAAAGGCAUAAGAAAAUAGUUAUAUCUGAGAUCUAUGCAUACUUCUUUGAAAGUUAAUGAAACAUAUUUCUUUUUUACUUCCAGGUAAACUUGCUUAUAAUUAGAGUGGAAUAUUAAGGGCGUUUUUCACAUUAACAGUAAGGCUGUCUUCCUGUUGUAUACACUUUUUUGGGAGUUGAUCCCAGUGAAAUUUACUUCAAACUAAAUAUUAAUGGUGAAUAUAAAAAUACCCUCCUUUUGGUCUGACGUGUGUUUGUUGUGAUUGCCAUCCUAUAUCUACUUCACUGGGAAUAAGUCUCGUUUAAAUCAACACAUCUUAUUUCUUGAAUAUACAUGUGUAGGCUGACACUGUUAGGUUGCAAUUUUAAGCCUUUAAACUUUGUAGUGUCUUUCAAAAGAGUUUGGUUUUCGUCUUUUCCAGUAGCUUAAUGUGCUUAAUUAAGGCAACUGGAGCCAUUUACUUUAUGUUGGGUUGCUGACUGACCAGAGAAAAAAAAAGCAAAAACAAAUUGCCUGGCUUGCUCUUGUGACUUCAACAGGAACUCUGUGUGCAGAAUCAGCUGGUGAAGUUUUUCACAGCAUGGAGAGAAACAUUAUUGUCUAUUGAUAUCUGUCCAUCCAGCUGCUUUUAAAAAUAGUAAAAGCAGUGACAGUCUGAAAAGUUAGGAAAACUAGUUUAGUGAACACCUGGAUGAUUUGGCACAUGUGUGAGUUAUGUGUGCUAGUCCAUGCAGGAACUAAUCCAAGGAAGAUCCUGCCUCAGGAUUGGAGGCUGGACCCAGUGGCUUUCAGUGAUUUGCCAGCAGAGUUAUAGGUUACCUAAGCCUUUGGUUUGGUAACCUGUAAUCUGUUCUUAUGGUGAUAUGGGCUCAUUUAAAACAGGGAGUAGCACCUUCUCCUUCCAGCAAAACAAGGAGUCAUUGCAAAGGAGUUAUAUUCAAGGCAGUGUCUGAGCUAUGGGAACUAAAGGGAUUCCCUUCCUAAUGUAGGGUUGACCUUUAACUGCUGCACAACAAGUUGUAGUGAGGUAAUCACUCGCCAGAUUGUCCCAUCCUCCUUAAAGGUGCAGCAUCGCUUCCAGCCUCCACUCCAAAAAUUGCCAGCCUUAUUCCUGAUGUCAAGGAACACAACAUCAUACAUGAGAUACACCCAGGUGAUAUACACAGCUGCACCCAGAGCCAGCCAAAAGCAAUUUUGCUGCCAGAGGCAAAGGACAGGCUGUCACCCACUCUCCAUUCACAGAAGCCCACCAGUAACUAAGCCUCACUUGAACACUGACACACAGACUAGCUUACGGGACACAGGGCUCUGUCGUUUAAUACCUUGCUGCCACUUGCUCAUCAGUCUGCUGGGCGGCUCCUAGUUCCCUCUCUGACAAAUGGUGCAACACAGCAGCAGUGGCACCUGCACCCAUCCCAUGCGCAGAACAGCAAACGUAACAUGCACGGUGCCUGCCAGAGUAUGUGAGCUGGGCUGGUGCCCCUCUGCCUGCUCACUUGGUCAAGGGCCUUGUUCAACGACACCAUCAUAUUUGGAGAAGGCAGCCCAGGCAAGCAACACAAGCGAGCAUUGCCAUGACCAGACCCAGGAGGAUGGGAAUGAUUAAUGGGGAGCUGUGAGGGAAUUCCAGAGAACGGCUGGAAGGCGGCCACCUCAUCUGCUGCCACAUGGUGGGUUUGAUCAGGAUUAAGUCUUGGAUCAACACUGCUUGCAUUUAAAACUACCUUUCUUGCUUCCUUCCUUUCUUGGCUCCACAUUUCUUCAUGCUUUCAGUGACUCUGUGGGUUUACAUACAGUAGAAACUUUAUUAUUCACCAUAAAUGAGUGUUUGCUCAGCUGAGGCCUCCUAUAAAUGCUGUCUUCUGGCAAGGCCAAGAGCAAUAGCGUGUCCUCUUCGUGCAAUGAUCCUCUUUUAACAGCUUCGACUUGAGCUUUGCCAGUAACAUAUGGGCACAUUUCCAUUGCCUGCAAGAAGUCCAAGACAGUGACAAUCCCAACCUUCGGGUUAAAAAUACUAAUGAGACCCCCUCCCCAUGCAUUAUACGUGCUGGAUUCAAACCUGUGCAAAGGGAACAUCCAAUAAGUCAGAGCAGCAGAGGGGCACAUCUGUUCUGCUACAGAGGUUACUCAGUGGGUCCCUCCUAAGCCAGGGAGCCUUAGGCAUGGGGAAUGAAAGUGCCCCUCUUGGCACUCAAAAUGCUCCCCAAAUCACACCCUGCGUGUUUUUACCCAUCUGGGAUGUUUCCUUAAAGUCUGCACAUGCCUUUUGCUUGCCUGGAUAGAGGCUAGAGGUGUGUGUCUACUGUUCCAAGAUAAAAUUUGCAUUCAUUACUUCAUCAGCUUUUGCCUCUGGUAUGCUGGUUUGCCACUGCAGGAUCUACACUUUUUUAGAAAGUAGAACAAAUACAAAAUACUGUAGGGAAGAGCUGAAUCUGCAGCAUGUAGAACUUUUUUUAUUUUGAGGUGAUUUUGGUGUGUUACUGUUAAAAAUAUUAAAGAUGCUUUUUCCUUGU
Molecule: long non-coding RNA, 3412 nt
Filed under: Podarcis lilfordi (Lilford's wall lizard)
Lineage: Eukaryota; Metazoa; Chordata; Lepidosauria; Squamata; Lacertidae
Source: RNAcentral